UGGGGAAUCUUGCGCAAUGGGGGCAACCCUGACGCAGCGACGCCGCGUGCGGGACGGAGGCCUUCGGGUCGUAAACCGCUUUCAGCAGGGAAGAGACGAGACUGUACCUGCAGAAGAAGCCCCGGCUAACUACGUGCCAGCAGCCGCGGUAAUACGUAGGGGGCGAGCGUUAUCCGGAUUCAUUGGGCGUAAAGCGCGCGUAGGCGGCCCGGCAGGCCGGGGGUCGAAGCGGGGGGCUCAACCCCCCGAAGCCCCCGGAACCUCCGCGGCUUGGGUCCGGUAGGGGAGGGUGGAACACCCGGUGUAGCGGUGGAAUGCGCAGAUAUCGGGUGGAACACCGGUGGCGAAGGCGGCCCUCUGGGCCGAGACCGACGCUGAGGCGCGAAAGCUGGGGGAGCGAACAGGA
This 406-nucleotide ribosomal RNA is filed under the name uncultured bacterium. RNAcentral's name for it is "partial 16S ribosomal RNA". It matches the Rfam family "Bacterial small subunit ribosomal RNA", at positions 355 to 777 of the family's 1533-position model. The record is from RNAcentral.